AAGCAUCUUCUGAGUGGUAACCCAGCUGAAUGUUGAGGUGGUGUGAUAGUGUGGUUGUGUGAUUGUGGAUGCUCGCUCCCAAAAGAGCUGCUACUUGUUGUGUUUUUAGUGUACCCUCCCUGUUUAGUAGCUUAGUGCUACGGGGUUAUCAGCUAUUUGAUCAGAUAUUCACCGAAGAGCCUUUAAGACUAGCGAGAAAUCAAGGAGAUGGAGCAAUCGAAGGAGGAACCUGGAGAACUUGUACCCUCUCUGUUUAGUAGCUUAGUGCUACGAGAAAGAUCAAGAAAAGGAGCAGAUAUCACCGGAAAGACUUUGAGAUCAGCAAGAAAUCAAGGAUAUGGAUCAAUCGGAGGAGGGACCUAGACAAAUGCAACGGCAACAACAACAACAGCAACAGCAACAGCAGCUUCAAAUACGCAGCCAAAGAGCCACAGAUACAGAUACAAAGAUACAGCCACAGAUAGAGAUAGAGAUACAGUUAGCGCUACAGAUAGAGAUAGAGAUGCAGAUACGACAGCACCAGCUACAGAUACUUGUAACUAAAGUGACAUGAGGCCUUAACAACAAUAAAAACAACAACAACAACACCAUAAGCAACUACCAAAGGAACUUCGUAAAGAGUGGGGGCAAAAAACAGCGACCGACGGCACUAAAAACCAAAUUACAAACAAUUAAAAGCGAGAGCACAAGGAGUGGGAUCCUCCCCCAACACAGACACACACACGCACAGCAGGAGCAGCAGGAAUAGAAGCAGCAGCAGCAGCAGCCGGAACAGGACACUCACAGCUGAGGAGGAGCAAAAAGGACAAAAGCCAGGCAGCAGCAGCAGCAUCAGCAGCUCUACAUGCUUCAACGUUUAUGGCCAACUAAAACUGAGCAGUGGUCCCAGACACGGAUCCACGAAUUUACCCCUGGACAACAACAACAACAACAACUGAAACAGCAGCCGCAGUCCAUCAUCAUCGCCAGGACCUUUGUCUCCACCUCACCCCAUCUGCAACUGACUGCCACCGAAGGCGGCAAUAAAAAGUUUGCCUUUGUGUCGUGUCGUGUCGUCUCGGUGUCGACAUUGCCAGCUUGCUUUCGCUUUCGCUUUUGCUUUUGAGCCAGCAAAACUGCUGCCGGCACGCCCUCCGUUUUGGCGAAAACGGUGUCGUCCUCUGUCGUCCUCAGUCGUCGUCGUCGUCCUCAUCCUCAUCGUCGUCAGACGUCGCCGCCUCUGGGCACUCAAUUAAGCCCAAUUCAACGCAACUUGAAAGCGACGCGCGGCAAACAAUAGCAGCUAAAAAACAACACAAAAACAAGGGGAGCAGUGAGAGAAAUAACAACAACGGGGGGAAAAAGAGGAGGAGCAUCACCAGGAGAUACAAAACGCCGACCAGAAAUAAUAACAAUUGCUAAAGCGACAACAACAAAAAACAACACCUACGCAGGCAGCCAUAAUUGCAAAAAACAGAAAUAACACAUUAAAAGCAAAAGCAGUACGAUUAACAAUAAUAGUAACAGCAACAAAAAGUGCAACAUAAGCAACAUUAAUAGUAAGAGCAACAGUCAUAGCUAUUGACAUAGGGAAUAGUAACUGCAACCGAUUGAAUAACAUCAGUAAGUGCAAUAAAAGCAACAAGAAAAGCAACUACUACAGUACUACAGCAUCAGUCUCAACAGCAUAAUUCUUAACAGAAGAUACAACGACAGAGCUAGCAACAGCAAUUUCCACAGCAGCACCAACACCAGCAUCAACAACAUAAUAAGUCAACAACAGACAGAUAUAAGCUAAAAGCAACGUAGGAAGCAACACAAACAACAGGACCAGGCAAUACCUACAGCACCAACUGAAUCAAUAACUAAGGCAACAUAAGCAGCAGCACCUACAACAUCUCCAGCAAAAAAAACACCAAUAGUAACCCCAGCAACAAAACUCCAACAAAAAACCCCAACAGUAAUGCCAGCCACAAACCUCCAACAGCAAUUGAGUCUACAAUUGCAGCAAGCAUAAGCAGCAACAUUAGUUGAUGCAGUUGGCAUAAAAGCAGCAACAACUAAGCUGAAUAACAACACAACAACAGCAACAUAGGGAAUCCGAAUCCUAGGCAACAUUAGCGUAAUCAGUGCAACAGUGAAGCCACAGGCCCAGCCACGCCCACGACAACGACUCGAACACGGACACGUAGGCGGCACUUGGUAACAGAAGCAGCAACAGCAACAGCAAAAGCAACAACAGCAGCAGCAAGGACGAUAGCAAGGAUAGACAAGAAAAUAAGAUAGAACGGGGAACAGGAGAUAGGUACAAGGAUAAACAAGAAGGGAGGCUAGUCGCCCACACGCAACGCAUCGAAGGCGUAG
This is a non-coding RNA of Drosophila kikkawai, 2343 nucleotides long. The record is from RefSeq and is a predicted model, not a curated record. Lineage: Eukaryota; Metazoa; Arthropoda; Insecta; Diptera; Drosophilidae.